GUCUACGGCCACCCUGAACAAGCCCCAUCUCGUCUGAUCUCAGAAGCUAAGCAGGGUCGAGCCUGAUUAGAACCUGAAUGGGAGAUCACCUAAGAAGAUCAGGUGCUGUAGAUG
RNAcentral lists this ribosomal RNA (114 nucleotides) under Pteropus alecto (black flying fox). The record is from RNAcentral. Lineage: Eukaryota; Metazoa; Chordata; Mammalia; Chiroptera; Pteropodidae.